GACGAACGCUGGCGGCGUGCUUAACACAUGCAAGUCGAACGGAAAGGCCCUGCUUGCAGGGUACUCGAGUGGCGAACGGGUGAGUAACACGUGGGUGAUCUGCCCUGCACUUCGGGAUAAGCCUGGGAAACUGGGUCUAAUACCGGAUAGGAGCCAUUUUUAGUGUGAUGGUUGGAAAGUUUUUUCGGUGUAGGAUGAGCUCGCGGCCUAUCAGCUUGUUGGUGGGGUAAUGGCCUACCAAGGCGGCGACGGGUAGCCGGCCUGAGAGGGUGGACGGCCACAUUGGGACUGAGAGACGGCACAGACUCCGACGGGAGGCAGCAGUGGGGAAUAUUGCACAAUGGGCGCAAGCCUGAUGCAGCGACGCCGCGUGGGGGAUGACGGCCUUCGGGUUGUAAACUCCUUUCGCUAGGGACGAAGCUUUUUGUGACGGUACCUAGAUAAGAAGCACCGGCUAACUACGUG
RNAcentral lists this ribosomal RNA (465 nucleotides) under uncultured bacterium. Its description in RNAcentral is "partial 16S ribosomal RNA". It matches the Rfam family "Bacterial small subunit ribosomal RNA", at positions 28 to 507 of the family's 1533-position model. The record is from RNAcentral.